RNAcentral lists this ribosomal RNA (513 nucleotides) under uncultured bacterium. RNAcentral describes it as "partial 16S ribosomal RNA". It matches the Rfam family "Bacterial small subunit ribosomal RNA", at positions 28 to 523 of the family's 1533-position model. The record is from RNAcentral.
GAUGAACGCUGGCGGCGUGCCAAAUACAUGCAAGUCGAGCGAACAGAUAAGGAGCUUGCUCCUUUGACGUUAGCGGCGGACGGGUGAGUAACACGUGGGUAACCUACCUAUAAGACUGGGAUAACUUCGGGAAACCGGAGCUAAUACCGGAUAACAUUUGGAACCGCAUGGUUCUAAAGUGAAAGAUGGUUUUGCUAUCACUUAUAGAUGGACCCGCGCCGUAUUAGCUAGUUGGUAAGGUAACGGCUUACCAAGGCGACGAUACGUAGCCGGCCUGAGAGGGUGUUCGGCCACACUGGAUCUAAGCGACGGUCCAGACUCGUACGGGAGACAGCAGGAGGGAAUCUGAGGCAAGGGGCGAGAGCCUGACGGAGCAAUGCCGCGUGAGUGAUGAAGGGUUUCGGCUCGUAAAACUCUGUUAUUAGGUAAGAACAAAUGUGUAAGUAACUGCGCUCGUCUUGACGGUACCUAAUCAGAAAGCCACGGCUAACUACAUGCCAGCAGCCGCAGAAA